Molecule: unclassified non-coding RNA, 220 nt
Filed under: soil metagenome
Description: partial contains 5.8S ribosomal RNA, internal transcribed spacer 2, and large subunit ribosomal RNA
Source: RNAcentral
AACCUAGCACACCUGCGGUGUGUACCUGCGGAAGGAUCAUUAUCGAGUUACCACUCUAUAACCCUUUGUGAACAUACCUACAUGUUGCUUCGGCGGUCGGCCCCCCGGGCCCCCGGCCCCGCUCACGCGGGGCGUCCGCCGGAGGAUAACCAAACUCUGAUUUAACGACGUUUCUUCUGAGUGGCACAAGCAAAUAAUCAAAACUUUUAACAACGGAUCU